GCCUGACUGGCUCAGUCCAUGGAGCCUGCGACUCUUAAUCUCAGGGUUGUGGGUUCAAGCCCCAUGUUGGGUG
RNAcentral lists this transfer RNA (73 nucleotides) under Felis catus (domestic cat). It matches the Rfam family "tRNA". From Rfam's summary of the family: Transfer RNA (tRNA) molecules are approximately 80 nucleotides in length. Their secondary structure includes four short double-helical elements and three loops (D, anti-codon, and T loops). The record is from Rfam by way of RNAcentral. RNAcentral also lists the same sequence under 2 other names. Lineage: Eukaryota; Metazoa; Chordata; Mammalia; Carnivora; Felidae.